UACGUAGGUGGCAAGCGUUGUCCGGAAUUACUGGGCGUAAAGCGCACGUAGGCGGUCUUUUAAGUCGGGGGUGAAAUCCUGGAGCUCAACUCCAGAACUGCCUUCGAUACUGGAAGACUUGAGUCCGGGAGAGGUGAGUGGAACUGCGAGUGUAGAGGUGAAAUUCGUAGAUAUUCGCAAGAACACCAGUGGCGAAGGCGGCGCACUGGCCCGGUACUGACGCUGAGGUGCGAAAGCGUGGGGAGCAAACAGG
RNAcentral lists this ribosomal RNA (253 nucleotides) under uncultured bacterium. RNAcentral describes it as "partial 16S ribosomal RNA". It matches the Rfam family "Bacterial small subunit ribosomal RNA", at positions 524 to 776 of the family's 1533-position model. The record is from RNAcentral.